RNAcentral lists this ribosomal RNA (253 nucleotides) under uncultured bacterium. Its description in RNAcentral is "partial 16S ribosomal RNA". It matches the Rfam family "Bacterial small subunit ribosomal RNA", at positions 524 to 776 of the family's 1533-position model. The record is from RNAcentral.
AACGUAGGUGGCAAGCGUUAUCCGGAUUUACUGGGCGUAAAGCGUGUGCAGGCGGGUGGAAAAGGGGUGUAUGAAAUCGCCAGGCUAAACCUGGCGGGGUUAUGCCAGACUGUUUAUCUGGAGUGCGAGAGAGGGGCGUGGAAUUCCGGGUGUAGUGGUGAAAUGCGUAGAGAUCCGGAGGAACCCCAGAGGCGAAGGCGGCGCCCUGGCUCGCAACUGACGCUCAGACACGACAGCAUGGGGAGCGAACGGG